This 450-nucleotide ribosomal RNA is filed under the name uncultured Glomeromycotina. RNAcentral describes it as "SSU rRNA". It matches the Rfam family "Eukaryotic small subunit ribosomal RNA", at positions 569 to 1023 of the family's 1831-position model. The record is from RNAcentral. Lineage: Eukaryota; Fungi; Glomeromycota.
AGCAGCCGCGGUAAUUCCAGCUCCAAUAGCGUAUAUUAAAGUUGUUGCAGUUAAAAAGCUCGUAGUUGAAUUUCGGGGUUAGUAGGUUGGUCAUGCCUCUGGUAUGUACUGGUCUCACUGAUUCCUCCUUCCUGAUGAACCUUAAUGCCAUUUAUUUGGUGUUUUGGGGAAUUUGGACUGUUACUUUGAAAAAAUUAGAGUGUUUAAAGCAAGCUAACGCUUGAAUACAUUAGCAUGGAAUAAUGAAAUAGGACGUUCGAUCCUAUUUUGUUGGUUUCUAGGAUUUGACGUAAUGAUUAAUAGGGAUAGUUGGGGGCAUUAGUAUUCAAUUGUCAGAGGUGAAAUUCUUGGAUUUAUUGAAGACUAACUACUGCGAAAGCAUUUGCCAAGGAUGUUUUCAUUAAUCAAGAACGAAAGUUAGGGAUCGAAGACGAUCAGAUACCGUCGUAG